CGCGAACGCACCUUCGGGUGUUAUUAGAGUGGCGGACGGGUGAGUAACACGUGGGAACAUGCCUUUCGGUACGGAACAACGCUUGGAAACGAGUGCUAAUACCGUAUACGCCCUUCGGGGGAAAGAUUUAUCGCCGAAAGAUUGGCCCGCGCUAGAUUAGCUAGUUGGUAAGGUAAUGGCUUACCAAGGCGACGAUCUAUAGCUGGUUUGAGAGGAUGAUCAGCCACACUGGGACUGAGACACGGCCCAGACUCCUACGGGAGGCAGCAGUGGGGAAUAUUGCACAAUGGGGGCAACCCUGAUGCAGCCAUGCCGCGUGUGUGAAGAAGGCCUUCGGGUUGUAAAGCACUUUCAGUUGUGAGGAAAGGUUGAUGGUUAAUACCCAUCAGCUGUGACGUUAGCAACAGAAGAAGCACCGGCUAACUCCGUGCCAGCAGCCGCGGUAAUACGGAGGGUCCGAGCGUUAAUCGGAAUUACUGGGCGUAAAGCGUGCGUAGGCGGAUUGUUAAGUCAGAUGUGAAAUCCCGGGGCUCAACCUCGGAACUGCAUUUGAAACUGGCUGUCUAGAGUAUUGUAGAGGGUGGUGGAAUUUCCAGUGUAGCGGUGAAAUGCGUAG
Molecule: ribosomal RNA, 616 nt
Filed under: uncultured bacterium
Lineage: Bacteria
Description: bacterial SSU rRNA
Rfam family: Bacterial small subunit ribosomal RNA
Source: RNAcentral